GGUGGGGUUCCCGAGCGGCCAAAGGGAGCAGACUGUAAAUCUGCCGUCAUCGACUUCGAAGGUUCAAAUCCUUCCCCCACCACCA
RNAcentral lists this transfer RNA (85 nucleotides) under Escherichia coli. Its description in RNAcentral is "tRNA-Tyr". It matches the Rfam family "tRNA". From Rfam's summary of the family: Transfer RNA (tRNA) molecules are approximately 80 nucleotides in length. Their secondary structure includes four short double-helical elements and three loops (D, anti-codon, and T loops). Lineage: Bacteria; Pseudomonadati; Pseudomonadota; Gammaproteobacteria; Enterobacterales; Enterobacteriaceae. RNAcentral also lists the same sequence under 8 other names. The record is from RNAcentral.